UACAGAGGUCUCAAGCGUUGUUCGGAAUUACUGGGCGUAAAGGGCUCGUAGGCGGCCAACUAAGUCAGACGUGAAAUCCCUCGGCUUAACCGGGGAACUGCGUCUGAUACUGGAUGGCUUGAGUUCGGGAGAGGGAUGCGGAAUUCCAGGUGUAGCGGUGAAAUGCGUAGAUAUCUGGAGGAACACCUGUGGCGAAGGCGGCCGACUGGGCCGACCCUGACGCUGAGGCGCGAAGGCGUGGGGAGCGAACGGG
RNAcentral lists this ribosomal RNA (253 nucleotides) under uncultured bacterium. Its description in RNAcentral is "partial 16S ribosomal RNA". It matches the Rfam family "Bacterial small subunit ribosomal RNA", at positions 524 to 776 of the family's 1533-position model. The record is from RNAcentral.